GGAAGAUAGCAGGAAAGGAGAUUUUUUUUUUUGAAGAAAACUUUCAGGACGUAUUGGAGGAUUGGAGGAAAAAAGGAGAAAGAAGGGGUGAACAAGCAACAAAAGGCUCUGAGGAUUUUUGGGGGGAGAAGAACAGAGGAAACGGAGAAGAGCAAUUGCAACCAAGGCUAUCCAGGAUUGGAUGGCUUGGCUGCUUGCUACUGGAUGUUUUUCUUCAAUUCGUGAGCAAGGCUUGGCGUGUCAAAUUAUAACAGUCGGUGCAUAUGUUGAGGUGGGAAGCUUUACUUUUGUUCAGGAGCUGUUUGAUAAAAUACCCCACAAGUUACAGCAUAUAACUUGAAUGUACUAAAGUCCUCUGCCUGCGAAUUUUUGUCAGUUUUAUCUGGGAACUUCUUGAAACCUGCACAGAAUGGUGAUAAUUUGUGCAUUACAGAAUUUUGUGAUGUGCAAUAGAAUUAUUAAUCGAGCUGUGAAUGUGACCCCUGAUGAUUGACUGUCACAUGGACUAGCCCAGCAGUUUGCUUCCUUUGAUAACUUGAUCCAGCUGGCUAAGACUGAGAUACAAACUCCAUCUUCCCAAGGAGUCUUUGAAGGUUUAUUGCUUUGUCCUAGAUUAUGGAGAAGAGGAUAUUGAGUGAGGACGCUGCCAUAGUUGGGAUUGAGAUUGGUUUUCAUUACAAUCCAUCCCAUGAAAUGAAUGCUCUGAUACAGGCUACAAAUUGAGAAGACCAAUUUCCGAUGUUGAUUUUGAAGAUGGACAGAGAAAGGAACCAAUUUCUUUAAGGAAUAUUUGUUGUGUCUCUCGGGUUCUUAGGUAGUGAUUUAUGUUGCACAUCAAGUAGAGUUCUUAUCUUUGCUGAUUCCAUACUGGUCAUAAAAGAUGUAGCCUUUUGUUCAGAGCAAGAACCCAUGUUAUCCUUUGCUUCAGAAUUACUAGAUCAUGUGGGCUUUCAAGAGAACGAAAUUGUGCCAAUAUCGAAAAUUCCAGCUGCUACUUUGUGCCUCGGAAAUCAGCUUGCAAGGUGGUGAUCAUCAUAGCUGUGUCAACCAUGCUAAAAAUGCUUAUUAGCAUAAAUACCGAGGACAUCCCACCAAACUGCUUUGAUCAAUUCAAUGUAGAAAUGAAUGAGAAACAUAAUGUGAAUUUUCUGUAGCUUGAUGGUCUAGUGCAGGGAA
Long non-coding RNA from Vitis riparia (riverbank grape), 1176 nucleotides. RefSeq lists it as uncharacterized. The transcript has 2 exons. Lineage: Eukaryota; Viridiplantae; Streptophyta; Magnoliopsida; Vitales; Vitaceae. The record is from RefSeq and is a predicted model, not a curated record.